RNAcentral lists this ribosomal RNA (3064 nucleotides) under Minisyncoccota bacterium. RNAcentral's name for it is "partial 23S ribosomal RNA". It matches the Rfam family "Bacterial large subunit ribosomal RNA". The record is from RNAcentral. Lineage: Bacteria; Bacillati; Minisyncoccota.
UAUCAGUAUGAAGUUUACUUUGUAUUAUCGUGUGCUCAAUGUUGGACGGGGGUUGUAGGGUAGCAACGUCGAAUUAACGAGAAAAGUCAAAAAAUUGUAUUAUAGAUUAAGUUGUUGGAAACCAACACCAUAGACGGUGAUAGUCCGGUAAUCGAAAUAAUAUGAACUUUUUUGUUGCUAUACCUGAGUAGCUCAGGACAUGUAAAGCUUGAGCGAAUCCACCGGGACUAACCGGUAAGGCUAAAUAUAUUGAGAGAUCGAUAGUGAACAAGUACCGUGAGGGAAAGGUGAAAAGAACCCUGAAAAGGGAGUGAAAUAGAUCCUGAAACCAUAUGCUUACAAGGAGUCGGAGCGGACGCAUUUAUGUGUUCCGUCACGGCGUGCCUAUUGAAGAAUGAGCCAACGAGUUUAUUUGUGUUGCUGGCUAAGUGGAAACCCCACGGAGCCUCAGGGAAACCAAGUGUUAAUAGCGCGACAAAUUAAGUAGUACAAAUAAGACCCGAAGCCAAGUGAGCUACCCAUGGGCAGGUUGAAGUGACUCGAAAGAGUUAUGGAGGACCGAACCGGUGAGCCGUACAAUACUCUCGGAUGACCUGUGGGUUGGAGUGAAAAGCUAAUCGAACUUGGUAAUAGCUGGUUCUCGCCGAAAUAGCUUUAGGGCUAGCGUACACUGUACCCUCUGGGGGUAGAGCACUGGAAGAUUUUGAUAGGGAGCAAUCUCGCAAAAUCUAUCAAACUCCGAAUACCAGAGACCAAUUAGUGUGCAGUUAGACAGUGGGGGCUAAGCUCCACGUGUCAAAAGGGGAACAGCCCAGAUCUCAGGUUAAGGUCCCUAAAUCAUAGUUAAGUGCAUCUUAAGGAGGUAAUAUUUCUCAGACAAUGAGGAGGUUGGCUUAGAAGCAGCCAUCCUUUAAAGAAAGCGUAACAGCUCACUCAUCAAGAGAUUUUGCACCGAAAAUAAUCGGGGCUAAACUAUGUACCGAAACUGAGGAUUCGUGUUGAUUUAUCAACGACGACUGGUAGGCGAGUAUUCGAUUCUGCUGUGAAGGCAAAGGGGUGACCCAUGCUGGAGCGUAUCGAAGUAAGAAUGUUGGCACAAGUAACCGCAAGGAGGGUGAGACCCCCUCCCGCCGAAAGAUCAAGGUUUCCUUGGCAAUGUCAAUCAGCCAAGGGUUAGUCGGGCCUAAGGGGAUGGUGAAAACCGAACUCGAUGGACACAUGGUUAAUAUUCCAUGACUUUCUAUAUAUGUGAUGAAGGGACGAAGGGUUGUACCAUUCGCUCAUUAUUGGAUUUGAGUUUAUGUUAUGAGGAUGUUUGGUAGGCAAAUCCGCCAGACACUAAUCCGAGUAAAGUAUAAAUGCCAGGGUUCGCCUUGGUAGAUGAAUGGGAGCACGCUUCCGAGAAAAUCUUCUAAACUUUGUAUAUAGAAAACCGUACCGCAAACCGACACAGGUGAUCAGGUCGAGUAGACCAAGGCGAACGAGUGAGUGAUCUUCAAGGAACUCGGCAAAAAAGCAGCCGUAAGUUAGCAAUAAGGCUUGCCACCCGCAAGGGUGGCCGCAGCGAAAGUUUCUCUGGCAACUGUUUAUCAAAAACACAGCUCCCUGCGAACACGUAAGUGGAUGUAUAGGGGGUGACGCCUGACCAAUGCUAGAAGGUUAAAUAUCGACGUUGCCAUUCGCAAGAGUGGUGGUGAUUGAUACAAGCCCUAGUGAAUGUCGGCCGUAACUAUAACGGUCCUAAGGUAGCGAAGUACCUUGUCGGGUAAGUUCCGACGCGCACGAAUGGCGUAAUGACUGGAGAACUGUCUCGAAGAUUAGCUCGGUGAAAAUACAAUACCGGUGAAGAUGCCGGUUACCUGCAGAUAGACGAAAAGACCCCGGAAGCUUUACUGCAACUUGAUAUUGAGCAUAUGUUAGUACUGCGUAGAAUAGGUGGUAGAGGUUAUGUGCAUCCUUUUGGGGGUGUAAUACUCGACAAGUGAAAUACCACUCUGUAUGUAUGUAUGUUCUAAUUUCGACGGAAAAAACGUCGAGAGACAGUAUCUGGUAGGUAGUUUGACUGGGGCGGUCUCCUCCUAAAGAGUAACGGAGGAAUUUAUUAAGGUCAGUUAGGCGCGUAUGGAAAUCGUGCCGAUAGUGCAAGGGCAUAAACUGGCUUAACUGUAAGAAGGACAUUUCGAGCAGAUGCGAAAGCAGAACCUAGUGAACCGACGGUACGUAUUAGACGCGGCCGAAGAUUAAUGGAUAGAAGCUACUCCGGGGAUAACAGGCUAGUUCCGCCUAAGCGUCCAUAGCGACGGCGGAGUUCGGCACCUCGAUGUCGGCUCACCUUAACCUGGGGGUGGAGAAGCUCCCAAGGGUAUGGCUGUUCGCCAUUUAAAAAGGUACGCGAGCUGGGUUCAAACCGUUCAGUUUAUGAUGUGGUCUGUAUGUAGAACAAAAAGUUUACUUUCUGUUCUACAUACAGAUCGUGUAUCACGACCUGAACCCAUUUGAAUCCGAGGAGAUGAUUUAAGGAGAAUCAUCAAAAAGACAUCAAUCACGGCGGCCAUGCAUAGCGAUAUGUAUGUGCGCAUUCAACUUAUAUCGGUGAAACCCUUCGAGUUAAAAACUCUCAGGGUAACACCGAGGGAAGAGUCUUAAAAACUCACCCGUAGAGACUAAAUGUUGAAGCACUCAUUGAGUGUAAGUUAUAGUCCGAUCCCUUCAGUAAUGAAGGUUCGAUUAUGUGUUUACGCAACAUAUAAUAGAAGUAAAACGUAGAUGCGUGAGACAGGUUGGUCUCCUAUCUACUGCAGGCGUUGACUCUUGAGAAGAUUCGUCCCUAGUACGAGAGGACCGGGAUGAACUGACCUCUGGUGUACCAGCUCUUUUGCCAAAAGGAUCGCUGGGUAGCUAAGUCGGGAAUGGAUAACCUCUGAAAGCAUCUAAGAGGGAAGCCAACUUCAAGAUGAGGAGUCGGUAUGAGGACCCUAGGAGAUUACUAGGUUGAUAGGCAUUAGGUGUAAGCAUAGCAAUAUGUUCAGCCAAGAUGUACUAAUUGUCCCAUUCCUAUUAGGUA